CUUUGCUGCCCUGCAUGUUGGAUGUUCAGCACCACGUACAAGGUCCUCAACUCCAUAUAUUUGUGUGAACGGACAGUGUUUGUCUUUCUCUUUCUGACUUACUUCACGCGGUAUAGUAGGCUCCACGUUCAUUCCAUCUCAUUAGAACUGACAUGGACGCGUUCCAUGUUAGUGCUGUGUAAGACACCGCUGUGUAUGUGUACUCCAACUUCCUUAUCCCUUCAUCUGCUGAUGGACACGUAGGCUGCUUCCACGUCCUAGCUAUUGUAAAUAGUUCUACGCUGAAGACUGGGAUACCUGUUUUUUACUCUGUGCUUCUAGGGCAUGUAAACGUUCACAGACACACCCCCCUGGGAACUGACUUGAAAGAAUCAAGCUGUCUUUAGAGUUUCCGGGGAGGGUAAGUGUACAUAUCUCUGUCUCUCUGUUUUGAAAGGAACCCGAUCCCCCCAGCUUUUGAGACACUUAACGGUGGCGUGCCCCCCUUCACCUAAAACAGAAAACCGAAGAAGCUGCUUCACGUGAAGACCAAUGGCCAGCAUAGUUCUCUUGGACGGGAAAGUAGUGAAGAGUGGUCUGGUGCUGAAGUGGAUCGACAGUGAGACACCAGUAACCCUGAAUUCACUGUAAAGGAAAAAUAAAAAGCAUCAGCUGAAAAAAAAAAA
Molecule: small RNA, 665 nt
Filed under: Bos taurus (domestic cattle)
Lineage: Eukaryota; Metazoa; Chordata; Mammalia; Artiodactyla; Bovidae
Source: RNAcentral